GGGUCCGAUCCUGCACCGCUGAAGACAAUGAACAUUUUUGAAUGGCUUUUAAAGGAUUAGGAUUGGAUCUUUA
This 73-nucleotide microRNA precursor is filed under the name Pelodiscus sinensis (Chinese soft-shelled turtle). Its description in RNAcentral is "miRNA (ENSPSIG00000019345.1)". Lineage: Eukaryota; Metazoa; Chordata; Testudines; Trionychidae. The record is from RNAcentral.